This 545-nucleotide ribosomal RNA is filed under the name bacterium enrichment culture clone Cont35_3130. RNAcentral describes it as "bacterial SSU rRNA". It matches the Rfam family "Bacterial small subunit ribosomal RNA", at positions 8 to 525 of the family's 1533-position model. The record is from RNAcentral.
AGAGUUUGAUCAUGGCUCAGAACGAACGCUGGCGGCGUGCUUAACACAUGCAAAGUCGAACGCGAAAAGGGACUUCGGGUCCCGAGUAGAGUGGCGCACGGGUGRGUAACGCGUAAGUAAUCUACCCCUGUAUCUGGAAUAACCCACCGAAAGGUGAGCUAAUACCGGAUACGUUUAUCUUGAUGCGAAUGAUGAUAAAGAAAGGUGGCCUCUUCAUGAAAGCUACUGUACAGGGACGAGCUUGCGUACCAUUAGCUAGUUGGUAGGGUAAUGGCCUACCAAGGCGACGAUGGUUAGCUGGUCUGAGAGGAUGAUCAGCCACACUGGAACUGAGACACGGUCCAGACUCCUACGGGAGGCAGCAGUGGGGAAUUUUGCGCAAUGGGGGAAACCCUGACGCAGCAACGCCGCGUGAGUGAUGAAGGCUUUCGGGUCGUAAAGCUCUGUCAGAGGGGAAGAAAUGUAUGGAUGCUAAUACCAUCUUUACUUGACGGUACCCUCAAAGGAAGCAACCGGCUAACUCCGUGCCAGCAGCCGCGGUAAUA